RNAcentral lists this long non-coding RNA (890 nucleotides) under Androctonus crassicauda. Lineage: Eukaryota; Metazoa; Arthropoda; Arachnida; Scorpiones; Buthidae. The record is from RNAcentral.
AGAACGUGAGGCCUCCGAAGUUAAGAAUAAUUAAUUUUAAUCACGUUAUCUAUUAAAAUAUUUGCCAUGGAGUAUACUUAAUUUAUUUUAUCGACACAGUUUAUUCCGGGAAAGACUGUACGCGAUCAACAGUAUCUUAGAAUAUUUGAUAUCUAACACGUGGUUCUUUCUUUUUCUCUCUCUUUUAUACUUCGGCCUAAAAUUAGAUCUUUAAGCAGCGGCACAAAUUUAAUAUUUUUGAAAAGAUCUGAGAUUAUCUUACCAAUUAUUUUAUUGCUACGGCAUCCUAGAAUUGGAACUAGCAGCGAUAAGAAUUUAGUUUUAUUCCGUCUAUUGUAGCAUCCUCUCUCUCUCUCUCCGAAUUUAUCAUUUGCUUGUUUUAUGCAGUAUAAACUAAGGAGUUGCAGAGCCUAUCGCGCGCUAUUAUGUUUAUUGCGAAGCAAUGAAAACGUGGAAUGGUACGGCAUCUAUACUUUACUAUUGGUUUUGUCAUUUUUACAUUCAGAAUAUAAAAGUUUUAUAUAUCGUCGGCGAUACUGUUCGCUCUUACAUGCAUCCCAUUCUGUGUCAAGUUUCUGGAGGUGAAGACUUGUGUUUGCAGUUCCACUUUAGCAUCAUCUCGAGUACUGCGACAACACUCAGCGACUGUGUCAACCAAACCUUCCUUGUCUCCUAAUGUCACUUGGGAUAAAUCACGUGAUGCCACUUUACCGAUAGCAAAGGAAUUUUUAAGAUGGCAAAGACAGUUUAAUUGCGACUAAAACUCUCUCGCAGGUCCAAAUUUUCCGAUUUAAAAUGUAUUGUUUGCAUCAAUUUUGAAUGGCAUCCUACUUGGAUAAAGGAUAGAUUCUAAGUCAAUUGAUAAUUAUAUUUUUAGCCCAAUAGUUAGC